This is a long non-coding RNA of Cucumis melo (muskmelon), 608 nucleotides long. RefSeq lists it as uncharacterized. The transcript has 2 exons. NCBI's taxonomy places the organism in Eukaryota, Viridiplantae, Streptophyta, Magnoliopsida, Cucurbitales, Cucurbitaceae. The record is from RefSeq and is a predicted model, not a curated record.
AAUAGAUCAGUUGUCUGUGUGUAUUAUUAUUAUUAUUAUAUAUAAGGAAGAAUUAGGCGAUUAUUGUGACAAAGUUGAAAAAAUAUCAUAACGAUGGCUAUUCUAAGGUCUCAUCAUACUCUUGCUUUUGUUGCUCUUUUCAUAGUUUUCAUGAUGUUCGUUUCUUCUCCUCUCAUGAUAACAAGCUCCCAUGCAGCUCGUUUAUUGAACAAAACAGAUCAUAUUCAACCUCUGUGUUGCGAGUGCUGUGGUUGUUGCUCUACUUCUGAUCAGUUGCCGCCGUGAAUAUGAUUUCAUUUGACUUAUAUUAUUGCUUCAUCAAAUCCAACUCAACAUCACCUAUCUCUAAAUAUAUGUGUGUGUCUGUGUGUGUGAUGUUCUUCAGUAAGAAGCCAGUAGUACUGAGCUCAAUAAAAGCAUAGAAACCUUGUACUGAUGUCCAUUUGAAUGGUUGGAAAGCUUGAAUCGAAUCCCCCCAUUCCGUAUAUGAAUUCAAAUCUAGCUUGUUACUUAUGGUUUAAUUAUUGUGUUUAUAUGUAAUGGUAAUUUGAAGAUUAUUUAUAUUAGAUGUUAAAUUAAUUACAAUUAAAACUAGUAGUGUUUCUUUU